GAAGGAGGAAGGUGGGGCUUGACCCAUGGCCGGGUCUGGACCACACCAUUGGCUCAUCGCAGUUGUGAUUUGGUAGAAUUUUUGUCUGGGAGAGGAACCCCAUCACAUGUGUGUACAGGAAGUACUGCCAUGCUCUCCACAUCUUUCCUGAAAGGCAUCAUGGGAAGCCAAAGAAGUCAAGGCUUUUUCAGGAUCCCAUAUUAAAUCAACAGAACCUGGAAUAAUCACAGCAAACAGUAAGAGCUACACAGGAGCUUUUGCCUUUCUUCAC
This 271-nucleotide long non-coding RNA is filed under the name Chinchilla lanigera (long-tailed chinchilla). Its description in RNAcentral is "lncRNA (ENSCLAG00000026145.1)". Lineage: Eukaryota; Metazoa; Chordata; Mammalia; Rodentia; Chinchillidae. The record is from RNAcentral.